AUAAGCGUGGCUACACCAGUAUUCUAUUACUCUGCUCUGAGUGGUGCUAUUUUCGCUUAAAUCGAAAUGGUUUCCGUUAUUCUUUGUUUGUUCCCCGCACUACUGGAAAAAAAUAUAUAUAUUUUCCAAGAGGCACUAGCCAGCCACGGCAACUUCACUAUACAAAGUGUUUAUAGCCACUUAUGUUAGAAAACAUGAAAUGGCACGUUGUUCCCGCAAAUAA
This is a long non-coding RNA of Daphnia magna, 223 nucleotides long. RefSeq lists it as uncharacterized. Lineage: Eukaryota; Metazoa; Arthropoda; Branchiopoda; Diplostraca; Daphniidae. The record is from RefSeq and is a predicted model, not a curated record. The transcript is spliced from 2 exons.